GUACUAAUAUAAGCGCCAGAACUAAGCUCGGACGAUAUGGCUUAGUUGACGAGGUGGAGGUUUAUCGAGAUUUCGGCGGAUGCCUCCCGGUUGUAUGUGUAUAGCCGCAAAAAUUUCGAUUUUAAAACAGCUGGGCAACUUGCUGCACAAAGGAUCGGAAAUACACAUAA
RNAcentral lists this non-coding RNA (170 nucleotides) under Bacillus sp. (in: firmicutes). RNAcentral describes it as "Bacillus sp. GlcN6P sequence". It matches the Rfam family "glmS glucosamine-6-phosphate activated ribozyme aptamer". Rfam says of the family: This entry contains a glucosamine-6-phosphate activated ribozyme that is found in the mRNA for GlmS. RNAcentral also lists the same sequence under 1 other name. The record is from RNAcentral. Lineage: Bacteria; Bacillati; Bacillota; Bacilli; Caryophanales; Bacillaceae.